UCGCAACCAUGGGAGACUGGACACACCUGCCACAGGAGGGAAUUGUGUUGUAGGAACCAGUAGUAUCUGCUACAUUGUUUUAAGAACUAAGUUAAGCAGGUGAAACUAAUACAAUAAUAUUUUCAUAAUUUCCUAACCACUUCCACAGUUUUCAGGGUUAUUAAUCUGAUGAGCCAUGAUUUGAACACAAGCCAUUUGACCCCAAAGCCUACUGUUAUUAAUUUAGAAAAAAAAUCAUUAAACCUUGAAGAUAAUUACUCUAAUUUCAAAUGUGACUUCAAAUAAACUUGAAAUAUCUUGGAAAAAUCAAAGAAAAUAUCGUCAUUCCUCCAGGCUCUAGGAAGGAAGUUCUCCCAGGAAAUGCAGGAGACUACAUUUCCCAGCCUUCUUUGUAGUGAAGUUGGAGACUUAUUAGUUCCAGACAUUUGGAUGUUCUCACUUAAUUCUAAUGAUAAAGAUUCAAACUGAGUAUGACUGUAUGUUUUACAAAUAAGAAAACUUAGGAACAGGAAGCUAAAGAUCUUGCACAACUGUCUAUCAGGACAAGAUUUUAACCCAAGAUGUCUAAGUCCUGAGUGCUUCAUCACUAUACUAAUGUUUUAUUGAUUCUAAGAUAUUAUAUUGUGUUUCAUCUGCAUAAUCAGUUUUAUGUUUUUUCAUCU
This is a non-coding RNA of Microcebus murinus (gray mouse lemur), 662 nucleotides long. The record is from RefSeq and is a predicted model, not a curated record. Lineage: Eukaryota; Metazoa; Chordata; Mammalia; Primates; Cheirogaleidae.